Molecule: ribosomal RNA, 220 nt
Filed under: Escherichia coli
Lineage: Bacteria; Pseudomonadati; Pseudomonadota; Gammaproteobacteria; Enterobacterales; Enterobacteriaceae
Also listed under: 1 other name
Description: partial 16S ribosomal RNA
Rfam family: Bacterial small subunit ribosomal RNA
Source: RNAcentral
AAAUUGAAGAGUUUGAUCAUGGCUCAGAUUGAACGCUGGCGGCAGGCCUAACACAUGCAAGUCGAACGGUAACAGAAAGAAGCUUGCUUCUUUGCUGACGAGUGGCGGACGGGUGAGUAAUGUCUGGGAAACUGCCUGAUGGAGGGGGAUAACUACUGGAAACGGUAGCUAAUACCGCAUAACGUCGAAAGACCAAAGAGGGGGACCUUCGGGCCUCUUG